ACGGCUCAGUAACACGUGGACAACCUACCCUGAGGUCGGGGAUAAACCCGGGAAACUGGGUAUAAUACCCGAUAGAUCUAGAUCGCUGGAAUGCUUUUAGGUCUAAAGUUCCGACGCCUCAGGAUGGGUCUGCGGCCUAUCAGGGUAGUAGUGGGUGUAAAGUACCUACUAGCCUACGACGGGUACGGGUUGUGAGAGCAAGAGCCCGGAGAUGGAUUCUGAGACACGAAUCCAGGCCCUACGGGGUGCAGCAGGCGCGAAACCUUUACAAUGCUGGCAACAGCGAUAAGGGGACCUCGAGUGCUACGAUACAAUCGUGGCUGUCUAGUUGCCUAAAAAGCAAUUGAUAGCAAGGGCCGGGCAAGACCGGUGCCAGCCGCCGCGGUAACACCGGCGGCUCGAGUGGUAACCGCUAUUAUUGGGUCUAAAGGGUCUGUAGCCGGCUUAGUUAGUCUCUUGAGAAAUCUGGCCGCUCAACGGUCAGGCGUUCAGGGGAUACUGCUAAAGCUCGAGACCGGGAGAGGUGAGAGGUACUUCAGGGGUAGGGGUGAAAUCUUGUAAUCCUUGAAGGACCACCAGUGGCGAAGGCGUCUCACCAGAACGGAUCUGACGGCAAGGGACGAAAGCUAGGGGCACGAACCGGAUUAGAUACCCGGGUAGUCCUAGCCGUAAACGAUACUCGCUAGGUGUCGGCCACGGUGCGACCGUGGUCGGUGCCGUAGGGAAGCCGUGAAGCGAGCCACCUGGGAAGUACGGCCGCAAGGCUGAAACUUAAAGGAAUUGGCGGGGGAGCAC
This 795-nucleotide ribosomal RNA is filed under the name uncultured archaeon. Its description in RNAcentral is "bacterial SSU rRNA". It matches the Rfam family "Archaeal small subunit ribosomal RNA", at positions 85 to 879 of the family's 1478-position model. The record is from RNAcentral.